This is a non-coding RNA of Brassica napus (rape), 79 nucleotides long. The record is from Rfam. NCBI's taxonomy places the organism in Eukaryota, Viridiplantae, Streptophyta, Magnoliopsida, Brassicales, Brassicaceae.
AGGCAGUGACGAUUGAGAAUGUCAUGCACCACUCUGAUUCGUGCUGAUAACUAUCUCUACCCAUAUAUUUUCUGAGCCU